UAUAUCAGUCAUCAUUCUUCUUCUUCUAAUUUUUUUUUUUCUUCGUGGCGACGCUGAUGGUGAUGGUGCGGUGCUUCCCCGACUGACAGUCUUCUACACUCCCGACGCUCGCUGUCUGUGAUUUUGGGUUUUUGUAAACCAACCAAUCAUCUUCCUACUAAUUAGAGUUGUGAAUUCGUUCUAGGGUGUUGUUAUGGAAGCGAAAUCAUCAUCGCUCGCUCGCUCGCUCCCCUGCUUGCUUCUUAAUUAGACGGUAUUGUUUUGGGAGGCGUAUUUACGAUCCGCUUGAUAACAGAGCAACACCAAAAACUAGCUCUGUUAUCAGCUCUGUUAUCACUCCCCCACACUACGGUUUCAAGUAAUGUUGCUCAUCUUCCUAGUGGCACUCGCAUCUAGGCAUUUAGCCUAAGACCCUGUCUUCUCUUAUAGAUAUGCUCGAGGUUCUAUAAGAAGAAAAGCUUCAGGUUUUGGAUGAUGCUGAUCAGUGAUGGCUUUGAUGGACACGCUUCUUCUUUGUGCGUGUGAUUGCUUUGAUGUUUCAGUUUUGCAGGUGUGUUUUGCAAGCGAAUUAUGCUCUGAUCUAAGGAUUAAUUGCGCGGGAUGGUUGAAGCUAUGUGUUGUAAUGUCCCGAGAAUAAGAGGACCGUAGCAUCUCCAUCUUCAGCUUCAGUUUCCUGCAAGCCCGAAGAAUCUGGAAAUCUCCACGAUGAUAAGCUAGUAGAGAUGAUAAACACAACAAUAGUGGAUGGAAGCCCAUCUGUAAAAUGGGAUGAUGUUGCUGGACUUGAUGGAGCUAAACAAGCUUUUCUGGAGAUGGUUAUACUACCGGAAAAAUGAAGAAAUUUGUUCUCUGGUCUUCGGAGACCAGCGAGAGGCUCAACACCUUCAGGCAAUACUUGUUUCAUAGCUUCAGUGGUGCAAUGCUUAACUCACACCAAGCCUCUUCUUAAAAGCCUUGUCUAAUACAAGAGUCAAAACCCUUGCAACUAUGGUGGAGGCACCGGGACUGAUAUGAUAAAUCUUUCUUCAGUUUAUCUUGAAGGAUGCCGUCUCUCAUACAAAUAUCAAAACCCUUGCAACUGGAGAGUCAGAUGAAGUGAUAAAAGAGUUAAAAGAUGUUGCAGGACAACAGUUGGCUCUAGCUACUGGUGUAGGCGUAAAGAGAACUCUUGUAUCUAUUGGGUGUCCACUUUGUCGGGUUUGGGAGCUGAAUGCUUCUACUUCUGUUGCCCGUCUAUCUAAAGAGAAGGACGAGAUGUUUGCCUCCUCGAGAUUUUCUGUGUAGACAGUGCAGUCGAUGAAGUUCUUUACAUGGCUGCAAACACUGAACUUGGUGGGAGUAUUAUAACAUACUACAAAAUCAUGGAAACGAAAUUAGUCAAAGCCAAGAAUAACAACUCUAUAUCAGCCUCUAAUGUCUCAGCUGAUGGGAAGCUGCUUCCGAUUCAUGAUUUUCUCUUAAUGCAGAAGAACCCUUGAAAGGAGAUGUUAUGAUACUUGACAUACCUCAACAAGUUUGUGUUCUUCUAAAUCAUCUGCUUCACCAUCUUGUGGAUGGGAGGACCUUGAUUUUGUUGCAGACGGCAGACGAUCUUAAUGAAAAUUUCCAGCUUGUAGGAAAAGAUGCGCUAGAAGAAGGUGAAAUAAAUCACCUCGGAAACAUCUAAGCUACUGAGGGAAGACUACCUUGCUCAAAACGCGUUUACACCGGAAGCUAAAUCGUGGUCUCUCCAUGGUUGAUAGCUACAAGCUGUUGAAGCAAGACCAAGACUUGACCGAUAAAGAGACUUUCAUUUAGUGUUCUCUCAGCUUCAAGCUUAUAUUUUCUCGUGCUUGAUGACAUCAUAGACAACUCUAUCACACGUCGUGGUCAGCCUUUUACAGUCUUCUUCGGUUCGAUUUCUACUCUAAGUUGGUUGUGGAAUAGCAACGCGGCGGUUCACUCCGGUUUCCAUCUGCUUGCAGGCAACACUACACGCCUCCGUAUCUUUUCCGGCACUGCUAAUCCCUGCCUUAGCUCAGACUCAAGGACGUGAAUCAUUCCAAUGCUUUUUCUUAUCUUCAUGCAUUGGAAUCUUUCUAUGAGAAGUUCGAUCCAGGUUUCAUCAGCAUCAGGACAAAGGCCAGAGAGGUGUUGCAGAGGGAAGACGAUCUUAAUGAUAUUGCUCAGCUUGUAGGAAAAUAUGCGAUAGUAGAAGGUGAAACUGACAUCUAAGCUACUGAGGGAAGACUACCUUGCUUAAAACGCGUUUACACCGGAAGAUUUGGAAGCUCAAUCGUGGUCUCUGCAUGGUUGAUAGGUACAAGCUGUUGAAACGAGGCCAAGGCUUGACCGAUAAAAAGACUUUUAUUUAGUUUUCUCUCAGGUGGUGCAUUGAAUGGCUUCAAGCUUAUUUUCUCGUGCUUAAUAAACAACUCUAUUACACGUCGUGGUCAGCCUUUUACAGUCUUCUUUGGUUCAAUUUCUACUCUCGUUGGUUGUUGAAUAGCAACGCGGCGGAUGACUCCGGUUUCCAUCUGCUUGCAGACUCAAGGACGUGAAAUCUAUUGCAGCCAAGCUUGUCCUCCUUUUGAUAGCAACACAGUCUGGUGGUGCAGAACAUGUCCUUGCUUUUGUCAUCUUCACUCCGGUCACAGGCACAGUCUAUGGGGCUACUUUGACAUUCCAUUCAAUCAUGUUUAUGGCCAGCAAAAGUGGAACGCAGCGGAUCCGUACAAGUUCUACACUCCGGUUUCCACCUGCUUAUAGGUGACACCGUUCUUGCAAGCUUUUCGAGGACCCGUUUGGAAGACUCGAUUUACAAGAACACCACACAGCCUCUGUAUCUUAUCCGGCACUGCUAAUCCUGCCUUAGCUCAGGUAUAUUUCUUGCUAUUUGGGUCUGGAGCUUGGGAAAAUCAAGAUUAAACGUGAAUCUGUUGCAGCCAAGCUUGUGGCAAAUUUGAUAACAACACUGGCUUGUGCAGACUGUGUCCUUGCUUCUCAUCUUCACUCCGGACAGUCUAUGAUGGGCUACUUUUACAUUCCAGCCGAUCAUGUUUCUGGCCAGCCUGUGAUACUUGAUUACUUAGCAAGGUGAUUUGGUGGUAGUUUCACCUGAUGUUGGUGGUGUCGCAAGGGCUCGUGCUUUUGCCAAGAAGUUAUCUGAUGCACCUUUAGCAAUAGUUGAUAAAAGACGUCAUGGGUACAAUGUUGCAGAGGUGAUGAACUUAAUUGGGGAUGUUAAAGGGAAAGUAGCUAUAAUGGUGAACGUUUAAUCUCAAGCUACAUCCAAUUGCUUACUCAACUGAUAUAUGAACUUGAUGUCUGCAUAGUAAAAGUCUUAAGAAAUGAUAGAUUUUUCCUUCUUAAUAUUGCUUCUAGAAGUGCUACUUGUGGGCUUAUUAUAAAACAUUUCCCUUCAUUAUAGGUCUGUCGACGAAGCACAGUAUAUAUCUCCAUACUAUUUUUUCCCUUUAAUGACUUUUAGAGAUUUGCUAUUAUAUAUCUCUGUUUUUGCCU
Non-coding RNA from Camelina sativa (false flax), 3501 nucleotides. Lineage: Eukaryota; Viridiplantae; Streptophyta; Magnoliopsida; Brassicales; Brassicaceae. The record is from RefSeq and is a predicted model, not a curated record.